Molecule: ribosomal RNA, 378 nt
Filed under: uncultured eukaryote
Lineage: Eukaryota
Description: partial 18S ribosomal RNA
Rfam family: Eukaryotic small subunit ribosomal RNA
Source: RNAcentral
CAAUAGCGUAUAUUAAAGUUGUUGCAGUUAAAAAGCUCGUAGUUGAACCUUGGGCUUGGCUGGCCGGUCCGCCUCACCGCGUGCACUGGUCCGGCCGAGCCUUUCCUUCUGGGGAACCGCAUGGCCUUCGCUGGCCGUGUCGGGGAACCAGGACUUUUACUUUGAAAAAAUUAGAGUGUUCAAAGCAGGCCUUUGCUCGAAUACAUUAGCAUGGAAUAAUAGAAUAGGACGGCCCUCCUAUUUUGUUGGUUUCUAGGGGAGCCGUAAUGAUUAACAGGGACAGUCGGGGGCAUCGGUAUUCAAUUGUCAGAGGUGAAAUUCUUGGAUUUAUUGAAGACCAACUACUGCGAAAGCAUUUGCCAAGGAUGUUUUCAUUAA